Molecule: ribosomal RNA, 452 nt
Filed under: uncultured bacterium
Lineage: Bacteria
Description: bacterial SSU rRNA
Rfam family: Bacterial small subunit ribosomal RNA
Source: RNAcentral
UACGGGAGGCAGCAGUGGGGAAUAUUGCACAAUGGGCGCAAGCCUGAUGCAGCCAUGCCGCGUGUAUGAAGAAGGCCUUCGGGUUGUAAAGUACUUUCAGUCGUGAGGAAGGUGUUAAGGUUAAUAACCUUAGCAAUUGACGUUAGCGACAGAAGAAGCACCGGCUAACUCCGUGCCAGCAGCCGCGGUAAUACGGAGGGUGCGAGCGUUAAUCGGAAUUACUGGGCGUAAAGGGCACGCAGGCGGUUAAUUAAGUUGGAUGUGAAAUCCCCGGGCUUAACCUGGGAAUGGCAUUCAAGACUGGUUAGCUAGAGUCUUGUAGAGGGGGUAGAAUUCCAUGUGUAGCGGUGAAAUGCGUAGAGAUGUGGAGGAAUACCGGUGGCGAAGGCGGCCCCUGGACAAACGACUGACGCUCAUGUGCGAAAGCGUGGGGAGCAAACAGGGAUUAGAUA